This 429-nucleotide ribosomal RNA is filed under the name Chloroflexota bacterium. RNAcentral describes it as "Chloroflexi bacterium partial 16S ribosomal RNA". It matches the Rfam family "Bacterial small subunit ribosomal RNA", at positions 355 to 776 of the family's 1533-position model. Lineage: Bacteria; Bacillati; Chloroflexota. The record is from RNAcentral.
UGGGGAAUAUUGCACAAUGGGCGCAAGCCUGAUGCAGCCAUGCCGCGUGUAUGAAGAAGGCCUUCGGGUUGUAAAGUACUUUCAGUCGGGAGGAAGGUGGUAAGGUUAAUAACCUUAUCAAUCGACGUUACCGACAGAAGAAGCACCGGCUAACUCCGUGCCAGCAGCCGCGGUAAUACGGAGGGUGCAAGCGUUAAUCGGAAUUACUGGGCGUAAAGCGCACGCAGGCGGUCUGUCAAGUCGGAUGUGAAAUCCCCGGGCUCAACCUGGGAACUGCAUUCGAAACUGGCAGGCUAGAGUCUUGUAGAGGGGGGUAGAAUUCCAGGUGUAGCGGUGAAAUGCGUAGAGAUCUGGAGGAAUACCGGUGGCGAAGGCGGCCCCCUGGACAAAGACUGACGCUCAGGUGCGAAAGCGUGGGGAGCAAACAGG